UCCCCCAUCCUCCAUUCAAAUUUGUCCGAAAAAUACCUCCUCCUUCGCUCGCAUUGUAUCACCUUCCUCUGCCCAGCGCCACUCGCGACGUCGUCUCUCUGUCCAGCGACACCGAGUGAUGUUUCUCCGUCUACACAGCGCCGCCACUCCCAAGUGCUCGUCCAACGGAGCAAACCAGAUUAACACCCCGAGUACGAAAGCCCUCUAACGUUCCUCUGUUUCACUGCCGACCCUGCUCAGCUUCAUAGAUUUUGCAGUCAAACAAAAGAGGGAGCAAAGCAGGGAAAAGAAAGGGUAAAAGGACCAAAGAUUUUGAUGACCUCUGCUUUCAUAAACUUGUCCGUUGCUUGCAGAGUUGUGUAAAUUCUUCUGGUACCAUGCCUUUUCCCUGAGACUUUUUCUGAGUUCAUUGUAUCAUUUGCUGAAGAUAAUAGUUAUGGUAGUUCUAUGUAUUAAUUUUUCAAGGGUUAUUAGUUUGCUCAUUCUUGUGGACAAAAACAGAAAAGAAUUAGCUCAAUCCCAUUGAUUACUUCUUUGUAGUACUUGAUUUAGUUUUAGAAGUAAAACAAACAAAUGUAUUUGGCUAAUAUGUAAACUCAAUUUCGAUACUUUCUUUUAGUUGAACCCAAGAGUUGAACUCAAAAUCCAACCAUUUCCCUACACUUGCUGCUUGUCCUCUGGCAGUUUGCUAGGAUCCCUUUUGACAUGCUUCUGUACUUUAUUAUACUCGAUGUUGGCAACACAGACAUGCACAUAUAUGCUAUACAGGAUUGAACCCAAGUGCUUCUUUUGUGAUGAAUCAUGAAAUUCUUUACAUGUACGGCUUAAGAGUCUAUCAUUGAUCUCCUUUACCAAUAAUCUGGGGCGAUCAGCUGUCUCCACAUAAAGCAAACUGCAAAGAUAAUAUCAUAUUGGGGACAGGGGGAGACAACAGAGAUUUUUUCCUGCUUCACUCAUUCAAAGAUAUCACCACUCACACUAGGUAUAUAAUUGCUAAUAUAGGGCUGCAGUCUCGCAAAAUUGGCAUAGAAGCAGCUUGUUGGAGUGCAGGUGUAAAUUACAUGAGAAAACAACUUAUACAAGCAUUACCUCUGUGUAUAACUUGGAUCUUUUGCAAGUUAAUUCUUGGGGCUGAUUAAUUUGAGAUGGGUUUGUGUUUACUACUUGUUGCUCCCCCAAGAAGUAUAGAAUCAUUCUAUUUUAUCAAGUUUGAGGGAGUUAGAAUUAGGAGAAGCUUAUGUUAUUUUAUUUUUUGUAUGUUAAUUUAGAAGUGUAAAGUAUUUCUACUUCUAGAGUUGCUCACCCUGUAAUUGGGAGUAUGAAACUUCCUCUUCGAAGUCAUUAUUUUUUAUGCCACUCCUAUGUUAUAGUAAAUGGUAAUUUUAUUAUUCAAUGAUGGCUUUGUACCUUAACAGAAGUCUUAGCUAAUCUUUUUUUUUUUUAAAAAAAAAAAAAAAGGUUUUGCCUUCCAAAUUAAAAAAAUUGGUUGUAUGAUUUUUUUUGUUUUGGAUGAACUAGUCUCAUUUGUAAAUUAUUAUGGUUCUGCAUAUGUUUGUAAUUUCUAUGUAUGCAGGACUCAUAACUAUAUAGUGAUGAGAGGAUGAGUUAGAAUGAGUCCUAUAGGGACACCAAGAGUGCCAUAUAGAUGUUUGGUGAGGGAACUUGGCAAUGAGUUGGGGGCUGGCAAUCUAAGAGUUAUUAUUUAUGGCUAAUCGAUUGAAUUUAUGAAUCUAAGAGUUAUUAUUUAAGGAUGUUUAAAGAUAGAUAUGAUGCAUGCUUGGGGCUGGCAAUCACAACCUACGAUUCUCUUGGGCCAUGGACUCAAAACCAUGAUCUUUAACCUUGUUAAGCUGCUAUCAAUUUGGACUUUUUGUUCAUAAUCAAAACAGUGGUGUUUGAUUAUUGUUGUUGGUUUAAUAAUCUUCCCAAAAUUCAAUGUUGAAAUUAUUUUGUUGAGUCAGAUCGUAAAUGGUGUUCAGCAUUUGAUGUUUCUUAUGUAUGCCACUGAACAGGUUAGUGAAUAAGUGGAGUGUGCUUUUCUUUAUGAAUAUUGUUGUUUUAUAAAGCUGAGUUGUUUCAAAAAACAUGGGUACUUACGCACUGCUGGUUGCACAAGAGAUUUUUGUGUUACUUACCAAAGUAAGGGGAGCUGAAGGCCUGCAUUCAGGGGGGAGAAAAAAGAAAAAAUUUAUUUAUGGGUACUUCCAUGACUAAAGAACGUUUAGAAAAAGGCAUGAAUAUUUGACUUUGAUAACUGCAUACAACUUUCUGAUUACAAGUCUCUUGCAGAGUAUGUAUAAUAUAUAGAAGGAACAUCACCUUAAUUUGACCAAAAAAAAAAAAUCUGAUAUAAGUGCUUUUCCUUUUUGUGUUCAUUUUUUGGUUUAUCAUUACACAAAUUUUCCUCAUUAUGGCUUUCAAUAUCUAAUCUAUCUGUUUCUGCCAUUUUCAGAUCUAGUCUUUAACUUUGGUAAACAUUCCACCUAACAAUUUGGUAAUGACUUUGUGGUUCAAACUUCGGAUUGACUAAAAUUGCGAAGAUUGGAAGCGAAGCUGUUGAUUUGCAUAAUUGCAUAUUUACUAUUUAGUUCAUGUAACUUUAGCACCCUAUGCGGUUGCUAAGCAUGCACUGAUCUCUGUAUAUAUUGAGAGAGAGAAGACCAUGAUUUUCUAUUAUGUAGAUCAAUAUUGUAAGCUCAUUCCACGUGAAAAUGAUGAGGGAAUUUGGCAACUUUUUGGUGAUAUUUGUCUCCAUAUGGUUGUUUUCUUCAUGGCCAUCAAGACGGAAAAUCUAUACAUGUGAUUCUGGUGUUUCACCUUCAUGGCCAGAUUUUUGUGGUACUGAUUAAUCUACAAUGGGGAUGAAAAGGCUCAAUUUGCUUUGCAUCCUUGCUUUAUUGUCUAAGAUACGUUUUAGUAUACAACGACAACUAUGAAUAUUCAGUGCCCUUUAAGUUUGAACCAAUGGCAUUGUUAAGGUUUCUCUAGAAGUUCUCACCUUUCAGAACUCAAGACUUUGUAUUCUUGUUGA
Molecule: long non-coding RNA, 3031 nt
Organism: Carya illinoinensis
Lineage: Eukaryota; Viridiplantae; Streptophyta; Magnoliopsida; Fagales; Juglandaceae
Exons: 2
Source: RefSeq, a predicted model, not a curated record